GGAAAGGGUAGCGCAGCCUGGUAGCGCACCUCUUUCGAGACGAGGGACCGCGGGUUCGAGCCUGCCUUGGCACCA
Molecule: transfer RNA, 75 nt
Filed under: Mesorhizobium alhagi CCNWXJ12-2
Lineage: Bacteria; Pseudomonadati; Pseudomonadota; Alphaproteobacteria; Hyphomicrobiales; Phyllobacteriaceae
Description: tRNA-Ser
Source: RNAcentral